UAAUAAGUCACCUCAUGAAAUCUUGUAUGGGAAAGUUCCAACCUAUACUCACUUGAGGACAUUUGGUUGCGUUGCCUAUGCCACUGUCCCAAUCCCUCAAAGGGACAAAUUAAAGCCAAGAGCUAUUCCUUGUGUUUUCCUGGGAUAUCCUUUUGGCAAAAAGGGUUAUAGAUUGUAUGAUCUUGCUUCAAAGAAAUAUUUGGUCUCCAGGGAUGUCAUAUUUCAUGAAUCAUGUUUUCCUUUUAAAUCUGUGUCUUCUUCUGCGCAUCCUUCUGCUUCAUCUUUUCCCUUUGUUCCUUCUGGAGAACAUGUUUAUGAUUCUGAUUCUCCCAUACUCCUCUCUCCUCCCUCUUCUCCCACAUCUGUGCAGGUGCCUUAUCCUGUCCCUGCCUCUACUGAUUCUGCCUUCCCUUCUUCUUUCAUUCCUGACAUCUCACCUCCUGUUUUGGCUUCUUCUCCUUCUGUUCCUGCACCCAGAAAGUCUCAAAGACAGCAUAAUCCUCCUUCCUAUCUUAAGGAUUAUGUCUGUCAACUACAGACUUGUUAUUAGAGGAGAUACUCAGGUUGAAGGUAUUGACUUCACUGACACCUUUUCUCCUGUGGUUAAAAUAUGCACAGUUAAGUGUAUUAUUGAUGUGGCUAUGAAAAAUCAUUGGAAUUUAUUUCAACUUAAUGUUAAUAAUGCUUUCUUGCAUGGUGGUUUGGAUGAGGAGGUGUAUAUGAAACUUCCUCCAGGUUUAACUGUUUAUGCUCCUGCCUCUGUUUCUGCCCCAUCUGCCUCCCUUGUUUGCAAAUUAAACAAAUCCCUAUAUGGGCUCAGACAGGCUUCCAGACAAUAGUAUGCCAAGUUGUCUUCUGCCCUAUACUCCAGAGGCUAUAGGCAUUCUUUGAAUGAUUAUUCCCUAUUCAUCAAAAGUACAUCAGGGUCCCUUGUGAUUGUUGCUGUUUAUGUGGAUGAUAUUAUUACUGGGGAUGACUGUGAUGAAAUUGCUGCUCUAAAACUGUUUCUGGAUGCUCAGUUUAAAAUUAAGGACCUUGGGUCCUUACAUUACUUUUUAGGCAUUCAGAUGUCAUCUUUGUUUCUGGAUGAUCAAUUUAAAAUUAAGGACCUAGGUCCUUACAUUACUUUUUAGGCAUACAGGUGUCAUCUGUUCCUGGUGGGAUGAUCCUUAAUCAGCACAAAUAUAUUUGUGAUUUUCUGCAACAGUUUGACUGUAUCAAUGUCUCUUCUGUUGUCUGUCCUUUGGACAUUAAUGCAAAAUUACAUGCUGAUUCUGGUGACCUUUUACCUUCUCCUGAUCAGUUUAGGAGUCUUGUUGGUAAGCUCUUAUUUCUGACCAAUACUAGGCCUGGCAUCUGUUUUGAUGUGCAACAUCUGAGUCAAUUCCUCAAAUGCCCCAGACUUCCCCAUAUGACUGCUGCUCUUCAUGUUCUGAGAUAUCUUAGGGGGACUUCUUCUCUGGGUCUCUUUUAUUCUGAUUGCAAUGAUUUCAAUGUUGUUGGUUAUUCUGAUAGUGACUGGGGUGCUGAUUCUGGUUACCUUUUACCUUCUCUUGAACAGUAUAAGAGUCUUGUUGGUAAGCUCUUAUUUCUGACCCAUACUAGGCCUGACAUCUGUUUUGUUGUGCAACAUCUGAGUCAAUUCCUAAAAUGCCCCAGACUCCCCCAUAUGACUGCUGCUCUUCAUGUCCUGAGAUAUCUUAAGGGGACUUCUUCUAUGGGUCUCUUUUAUUCUGAUUGCAAUGAUUUCAAUGUUGUUGGUUUUUCUGAUAGUGACUGGGCUGCCUGCCCUGAUACGAGGAGGUCUGUUACUGGGUUCUGCAUUAUUCUGGGUGGUUCUUUGAUUAGUUGAAAAUCUAAGAAGCAACCAGUGGUCUCUUUGUCUUCUGCUGAGGCUGAAUACAAGGCCCUAAGUAAGGUUGUUGCUGAGUUGUCCUGGUUAUCUCGUUUAUUUCUUGAUCUUGGUGUUUCUGUCUCUCUUCCUUUUUCUGUGUAUUGUGAC
RNAcentral lists this long non-coding RNA (2002 nucleotides) under Nicotiana benthamiana. RNAcentral's name for it is "long non-coding RNA (NBEN_LNC029113)". Lineage: Eukaryota; Viridiplantae; Streptophyta; Magnoliopsida; Solanales; Solanaceae. The record is from RNAcentral.